This 453-nucleotide ribosomal RNA is filed under the name Triticum aestivum (bread wheat). RNAcentral's name for it is "partial small subunit ribosomal RNA". The record is from RNAcentral. Lineage: Eukaryota; Viridiplantae; Streptophyta; Magnoliopsida; Poales; Poaceae.
CUACCCUAAAAGUGAGGGGGCAUAGGUUUUAGAGACCCUUAUUCUUUUAAUCUUGCAAUGCUCUCGAAGCAGGUCUGAGGAUUAAUUACAAACCCAGGGUCCCUCUGUUCUAGUGUUUUAAAAGUUAAAUACUAUCCUAAUGGCAGCAUGUUGCAAAGUACCUUGGAGAAUGGAUCCUCAUUUACUUGGAAGAGCACCAUGGAAGGCCUUGAGACCUUCAAGAGAGGAUAUAUUUGGAGGAUUCGGGCAGGUGAGAACGUUAACAUAUGGAACGAUAUGUGGAUUCUAUCCAGCCCUGACAGGAAGAUCAUCUCGGCUAGGAGUCAAGCUAUCCUGUCAAACAUUAGCGAUCUUAUUGUUCCCAACUCAAGAACUUGGGAUGAGGAAUUAAUCCGAAAUAUUUUCAAUCUAGUUGACGUCAGGAGAUUCUUGCAAAUUCUGUUAAAUCAUUAA